UACAGAGACUGCAAGCGUUAUUCGGAUUCACUGGGCGUAAAGGGUGCGCAGGUGGUCGUGUGUGUCAGAUGUGAAAUCCCGGGGCUUAACUCCGGAACUGCGUCUGAAACUGCACGACUAGAGCAUUGGAGAGGGUAGUGGAAUUCACGGUGUAGCAGUGAAAUGCGUAGAUAUCGUGAGGAACACCAGAGGCGAAGGCGACUACCUGGACAAUUGCUGACACUCAGGCACGAAAGCAUGGGGAGCAAAAGGG
RNAcentral lists this ribosomal RNA (253 nucleotides) under uncultured bacterium. RNAcentral describes it as "partial 16S ribosomal RNA". It matches the Rfam family "Bacterial small subunit ribosomal RNA", at positions 524 to 776 of the family's 1533-position model. The record is from RNAcentral.